GGUGGUACAACUGUUAAGUGCUCGGCUGCUAACCGAAAGGUUGGUGGUUCCAACCCACCCAGCACCU
Molecule: transfer RNA, 67 nt
Filed under: Loxodonta africana (African savanna elephant)
Lineage: Eukaryota; Metazoa; Chordata; Mammalia; Proboscidea; Elephantidae
Rfam family: tRNA
About the family: Transfer RNA (tRNA) molecules are approximately 80 nucleotides in length. Their secondary structure includes four short double-helical elements and three loops (D, anti-codon, and T loops). Further hydrogen bonds mediate the characteristic L-shaped molecular structure. tRNAs have two regions of fundamental functional importance: the anti-codon, which is responsible for specific mRNA codon recognition, and the 3' end, to which the tRNAs corresponding amino acid is attached (by aminoacyl-tRNA synthetases). tRNAs cope with the degeneracy of the genetic code in two manners: having more than one tRNA (with a specific anti-codon) for a particular amino acid; and 'wobble' base-pairing, i.e. permitting non-standard base-pairing at the 3rd anti-codon position.
Source: Rfam by way of RNAcentral